RNAcentral lists this long non-coding RNA (307 nucleotides) under Mytilus galloprovincialis (Mediterranean mussel). The record is from RNAcentral. Lineage: Eukaryota; Metazoa; Mollusca; Bivalvia; Mytilida; Mytilidae.
UCAUUAAAGAUACCAAGCUGAUAAUUUUUUUUCGUUUUCAAAAGAUUCAUUCGCGAUGCCCGAAUUAAGAAAUUAACAAGGUCAAUUAAAGUACGAAGUUUAAGCCCAUUGAGAAGCCAAAAAGACGAAAAUUAACUGUAAUGACGUUCAAAAACUAACCAAUUAAAGGAUUAGGCCCAGUAAGACCCCUUUUUUGCCCCAUAUAAAGCAGUUUUACAAAAUCGCUAAUAUGUAGACUUUAAGCUAUUCAUUGAACAAAAGAAUACUUCUGUUACAUAAAUAUAGGCUUAUUUUGACAAUACAAUAC